AGGACGAACGCUGGCGGCGUGCUUAACACAUGCAAGUCGAGCGGACAUCUUCGGAUGUUAGCGGCGAACGGGUGAGUAACACGUGGGCAACCUGCCCCUAGCUCUGGGAUAACUCCGGGAAACCGGGGCUAAUACUGGAUAUGACCGAUCCAUGCAUGUGGGUUGGUGGAAAGUUUUUUCGGCUAGGGAUGGGCCCGCGGCCUAUCAGCUUGUUGGUGGGGUGAUGGCCUACCAAGGCGACGACGGGUA
This 249-nucleotide ribosomal RNA is filed under the name uncultured bacterium. Its description in RNAcentral is "partial small subunit ribosomal RNA". It matches the Rfam family "Bacterial small subunit ribosomal RNA", at positions 26 to 285 of the family's 1533-position model. The record is from RNAcentral.